CUACGGGCUGCAGCAGUAAGGAGUAUUGCGCAAUGGAGGCAACUCUGACGCAGCCAUGCCGCGUGCAGGAAGAAGGCCUUAUGGGUCGUAAACUGCUUUUAUUUAGGAAUAAACCCCCGAACGUGUUCGGGGCUGAAGGUACUAAACGAAUAAGCACCGGCUAACUCCGUGCCAGCAGCCGCGGUAAUACGGAGGGUGCAAGCGUUAUCCGGAUUUAUUGGGUUUAAAGGGUGCGCAGGCGGGCUAUUAAGUCAGUGGUGAAAUCCCGGGGCUCAACUCCGGAACUGCCAUUGAUACUGAUAGUCUUGAGUUUGGUUGAAGUGGGCGGAAUGUAGCAUGUAGCGGUGAAAUGCAUAGAUAUGCUACAGAACACCAAUCGCGAAGGCAGCUCACUAAGCCAAAACUGACGCUCAUGCACGAAAGCGUGGGGAUCAAACAGGAUUAGAUACCCUCGUAGUC
Molecule: ribosomal RNA, 459 nt
Filed under: uncultured bacterium
Lineage: Bacteria
Description: partial 16S ribosomal RNA
Rfam family: Bacterial small subunit ribosomal RNA
Source: RNAcentral